Molecule: RNA transcript, 1753 nt
Organism: Chenopodium quinoa (quinoa)
Lineage: Eukaryota; Viridiplantae; Streptophyta; Magnoliopsida; Caryophyllales; Amaranthaceae
Exons: 9
Source: RefSeq, a predicted model, not a curated record
CGCUCAAGAAUAAAUCGGAUCGAACCGAUAACUAUUUAAACUGAACUGAAACUGACCCGCGAGACAUUUAAACCGAUUUCAAAUCGAACCGAACCCGAACGGUCAAACCGUUUUGACAGUGCUUAGACUUGUUACAGACUGUUAUACCUUAAAUUCUGUACUAAAAAAAAUCGGUCGCAAUCGUUAUCCAUCAUCAUGAGAUCACUUCCAGUCUUCCACACAAAAAUGGUGAUCCUACUUAAUCCUUUCUUCACUUCUCCAAAAAAAAAAAAAAAAAAAAAAAAAAAACCCUCUCUUUUUCUCGCUGAAUAGAAAAGGAAUCUAUCAAUCAAUCAAAUUGUGAUUUCUGUAAUUUCCCAAAAUCCAAUUGUUCUGUAAUUGUGAUUGCCAAUUUUGGAGCAAAUGCAAAUGCGAUAUUGUGGAAGCCAUGAAAUUUUCAAAUUACCUACCAAUCUCUAUAAUUUCCCUGCUACCAGGAAGGUGGUUGAUGUCAUCCAAGUUAUUAAAGACGAUUCUACCAAUUCAAAAGUAAAAAGGGCUCUUUUAGGAGCCAAAAAGAAGGAAAGAAUCAAGUUGCCUUCUUACAAGAAUGCUUGUGUUGGCGAAAUGUACCACAUUAGUCAAUUUUUGAAGCACCCAACUGGAGUUGAAGCAAUGCUGAAUGUAAAUGCUCUUGAAAGUUAUGUUCUGAUUGAUACCAACACAUAUAGAUGCAAGCUUCCACCAAUCCAACUUCUGAACUUUGAGGUGGCCCCUGUCCUGGACUUGGAAGUGACUCCAGCCAGUGAAUGUUGCAUUGUUGAGCUGCUGUCUUGUAAGUUUGAGGGCUCAGAAAUAGUGGAGAACCAGAACCAAUAUUUCUCAGCAACCAUGAAAAAUUUCAUUAGUUGGAACAUAACUGGUUCAGAAUCAUUUCUCGAGGUUGAUGUGAAGUUGAAUAUCACUCUUGAGAUUUACAAUAGGCCCUUUACCCUGUUGCCUGUAUCUACUAUUGAACGCCCUGGAAAUUUAGUUUUGCAAGCACUCUUGGACAGGUUUGUUCCUCUUCUCUUGCAGCAAUUGUUACAAGACUAUGAUGCUUGGAUUACACAACAACGUAGAAAUCUUCCAUAAUUCCAGGUAAACUUCCUUGUCGGCUCAGUUUAUUUGUCUACUGCAAUGCAAGUUUGAUAACACCGGCAUGCAUCUAUAGGUAGCAAUUCACAUGUGGAUCCUGGUGGAAAUUGAUCAAGUUGGAAACUUCAAAGAUGGAUAAGAAUGUACUCGAGUUGCCAGUUAGAAUUACAGUGCUGAAACCAUAGAUCAUAUAGGAGGUAAAUAAAUGUUGGAAUUCUCAGAAGCAGAAGCUGCAUGAGUGAUUAUGUAUUUGGCUGAUGAAAUCCGAGCUUCUGAAACAGUGGAACCUGCAGAGAGAAUUGGAUUCAUACUAACAUUGCAUUGCUGUAAAAUGCCGAGAAAGAGUUACUGAACUUGAACGAAGUAGCAAAAUAAGCAAAAAUACAUGUGAACGAACUAACUUACAAAUAUCACGGAUACAUCCAAUGAUUUAUCGGAGUAAAAGGAGACUAGCUCCCAACAGCCUCGGGACUUCCAAAGGCGUAAGGACAAGGACUAGGAGAAAGUUUAACUCUUUUAACAGAACUAAUACAAGGAUGUAAACGGGGAAUGGGGGUACAAUCUUUAAAACAUGCUAAACAAUGCAAAUGUGAGGGUUCCCAAGCUCUAUCGUAGAUCAUAAUCUUCAUAUGCUCAA